RNA transcript from Gorilla gorilla gorilla (western lowland gorilla), 2531 nucleotides. RefSeq lists it as uncharacterized. NCBI's taxonomy places the organism in Eukaryota, Metazoa, Chordata, Mammalia, Primates, Hominidae. The record is from RefSeq and is a predicted model, not a curated record. The transcript is spliced from 3 exons.
GGGCAGGAGCACCUACGCGGGGGUCGUCGUAGGUGGGGGCCGCGCUAGCGGUGCCGGAGGCGGCAGAGGCAGGGGUAGCGCCACAGGUGGGCGGGUCCCUGCUAGUGGGGCCUCAUCGCAGGUGCGCGAGCCUCGCGGGUGGGCUGGAGGACUCUGGUUGGGGGCUCUAGAGAUGACGGGAGCGCCACAGGUGGGGCAGGGGCAGCGUCCGGAGGAGGGGAGACCGCAGGGGGGCGGGGUCACAUCGUUUGCGGGGCGCGCCAGGGCGGGGCGGGAUAGAACGCCGGGAGCAUCUCCUGGGGGGGCGAGGGAUACCGUGAGUGGGCGCGAGCGCCGGGGCGGGUGGAAACCCCGCAGUUGCGGGGAGCGCCGAUGGCGGGGAGGGGUGGAAUGGGGGCGCGGAGACCCCACCUGGACGCGGAGGCUCGCGGCAGGCCCGGCCGCUCGGGCCGUUGUGGGGGCCGAGCCCGGCCGCGCGCACAGCUUCUAGUGGCCCGCAGGAUUCCUCCUGGGGCGGCGCUGGGAGCCUCGGGGAUCGGCUUCCUCGACCCCCGCCCCAGGUUUCCUCUGCAGCCUGAGGUCGGGAAGGACGGACGGAGAGUGGAUCCUCCAGGUGGUGGGAAAAGGUAUCUUCCACGGACCUGUGACCUGUCGCUGUGUACAAGCUUGAAUUCCUAACUACGAGUCCUUGAAGCUCCCUUGCUGCCUGAGCGGAACUGAAAUGGCUCCCGGCUGAGGCAUUCAAGGGAAAACUCACUGAAAUAUUUGAAACUACCACCAUGAACAAGAAUGCUCUUCCAGUGUGCCAGGGUGUACACCCAGAGCAUUAUCCUCGUUAGUUGUAUAUGCCAGCAUCCGGCAGGCGCUUUUAUCUUUUUUGGGUGUCAACUUUGAGAUUCUUAUGUAAGCUGCGACCUCUUCCUCUGCCUGCAAGGACAUCCACCCACAACCACGUGUUGCCUGGUUUAGAGCCUGCGGCCGGGUCCACCUGCAGGAGGAGGAGUGACUGGUGCAGUGAAGCUCAGACCAGUGAGCCAAGAUCGAGCCACUGCACUCCAGCCUGGGCAACAGAGUGAGACCCUGUCUCAAGGAAAACAAAAAAAGAAAAGAAAAGAGGUCACUUCAAAACUUCCCUAUUCAAACAGUUCACCCUUGAACAGCAGGGUUUGAAUCGCAUGGGUCACUUACUUACCCAUGGAUUUUUUUCGCUUCUGCCACCCCUUAGACAGCAAGACCAACCCCUCCUCCUUUCCUUCCACAUCCUCCUCCUCUGCCUACUCAAUGCAAAGAUGAGGAGAAGAACCUCUAUGAUGAGGCACUUAAUGAAUAGUCAACACAUUUUCCUUAGGAUUGCUUUAUUUCCUCUAGCUUACUUUACUGUAAGAAUACACUAUACAAUACAUAUAACAUAUAAAAUUUGUGUUAACCAAUUAUCUGCGUGAUCACUGAGGCUUUUGCCCAAGAAUAGGCUAUUCUUGGGUAACGGUCAAUCCGUUUUUGGGUAGUCAAAAGUUAUUGGCUGAAUUUCGACUGCGUGGUGGGUUGGUGCUCCUAAUCUCUGCAUUGUUCAUGGGUCAAUUGUAUUGCUUAAGAGGUGGUCAUUGGAACACUCCUUAGGGGCUGACUAUUUUUUUGUUUAAAAAAGUUUUUGCCACAGUGGGCCACUCAUUUAAGGCCCUAAGAUUCCUCACCUCUGAGCUCCUGCUACCGUAGACCAAGUGCUGAUCACUUUUGUUGCUCAACAUACUUGUCUCUUCCAUCUGCCACAGAACCUACUCUCACCUUCCAGGAACUGCUCCUUCCACUGCCUGUGGACCUGAGGGUCAGCGUGUCCAGCCAGGCCGAGGAGGGAGAUCAGUCCUCUCCUGUGCCCCAGUUCAUGGAUGGGCACAGGAUGUGGGUGGUGGGGGCGGUCCACCCGGUUCCUGCUAAUCCCACUGGAUCAUCAGGUGGGGAGAGUCAGCUUGCAUAGUGAAACCAGAGAGCUGCGAGAUGGAGAGUGGGAGUGAGAAACCAACAGAGUGAGACACACACACACACACACACACACACACACACACACACACAGAAAGAGGGAGAGUGAGAGAGAGAGAGAGGGCCAGAGAAGCUGAGACACAGAGAGACAUAGAAAGAUGGAGUAAGAGAUGAGGGGAAGAGAGAAACAGAGACAAACACAGAGUCUUAAAAAGAGACAGAGAGAGACAGAGCAACCAGGAGAGAGACACAGAGAGGGAGAAACAGAGACAGACAAAGUGAGAGGCAGAGAGAGAUGGAAAGAGAGAUGGGGAGAAAGGCAGAGAGAAGCAAAAGCUCAACAUUCCUUGAAUUGCUUCUCCCUGAAGUCACCAUUCUAUUUCUGCACUUCCAAUCACCACCAGGAAUCUUUCUAAGUCACCUGUCCUCCUUCCUUCCCCGUCUUCCCCACGCACUCUUACUAAAGCCUCCUGAAGUCUGCCUUCCCAAUGACAACUCCUCCUUGAAAUGUCACCACUGACUUCCAAACAAGCAGCAAAUAAAAAAGGUUUUUAAAA